AUUGAACGCUGGCGGCAUGCUUUACACAUGCAAGUCGAACGGCAGCGGGGAGGAGCUUGCUUCUCUGCCGGCGAGUGGCGAACGGGUGAGUAAUACAUCGGAACGUGUCGAGAAGAGGGGGAUAACCACCCGAAAGGGUGGCUAAUACCGCAUAAAUUCUGAGGAAGAAAGCUGGGGACCUAGGAAUAGGCCUAGCGCUUUUUGAGCGGCCGAUGUCGGAUUAGCUAGUUGGUGAGGUAAAGGCUCACCAAGGCGAAGAUCUGUAGCGGGUCUGAGAGGAUGAUCCGCCACCCUGGGACUGAGACACGGCCCAGACUCCUACGGGAGGCAGCAGUGGGGAAUUUUGGACAAUGGGGGCAACCCUGAUCCAGCCAUGCCGCGUGUAUGAAGAAGGCCUUAGGGUUGUAAAGUACUUUUGUUAGGGAAGAAAAGUCAGCUGUGAAUAAUGGCUGAUACUGACGGUACCUAAAGAAUAAGCACCGGCUAACUACGUG
This 494-nucleotide ribosomal RNA is filed under the name uncultured bacterium. RNAcentral's name for it is "partial 16S ribosomal RNA". It matches the Rfam family "Bacterial small subunit ribosomal RNA", at positions 30 to 507 of the family's 1533-position model. The record is from RNAcentral.